CUGGAAGUGGCGGCGUGCUAUACAUGCAGUUGAGCGCUGAAGGUUGGUACUUGUACCGACUGGAUGAGCAGCGAACGGGUGAGUAACGCGUGGGGAAUCUGCCUUUGAGCGGGGGACAACAUUUGGAAACGAAUGCUAAUACCGCAUAAAAACUUUAAACACAAGUUUUAAGUUUGAAAGAUGCAAUUGCAUCACUCAAAGAUGAUCCCGCGUUGUAUUAGCUAGUUGGUGAGGUAAAGGCUCACCAAGGCGAUGAUACAUAGCCGACCUGAGAGGGUGAUCGGCCACAUUGGGACUGAGACACGGCCCAAACUCCUACGGGAGGCAGCAGUAGGGAAUCUUCGGCAAUGGACGAAAGUCUGACCGAGCAACGCCGCGUGAGUGAAGAAGGUUUUCGGAUCGUAAAACUCUGUUGGUAGAGAAGAACGUUGGUGAGAGUGGAAAGCUCAUCAAGUGACGGUAACUACCCAGAAAGGGACGGCUAACUACGUGCCAGCAGCCGCGGUAAUACGUAGGUCCCGAGCGUUGUCCGGAUUUAUUGGGCGUAAAGCGAGCGCAGGUGGUUUAUUAAGUCUGGUGUAAAAGGCAGUGGCUCAACCA
This 600-nucleotide ribosomal RNA is filed under the name Lactococcus lactis. RNAcentral's name for it is "bacterial SSU rRNA". It matches the Rfam family "Bacterial small subunit ribosomal RNA", at positions 25 to 615 of the family's 1533-position model. The record is from RNAcentral. Lineage: Bacteria; Bacillati; Bacillota; Bacilli; Lactobacillales; Streptococcaceae.